CCUACGGGAGGCAGCAGCGGGGAAUAUUCCGCAAUGGGCGCAAGCCUGACGGAGCGACGCCGCGUGUGGGAUGAAGUCUUUCGGGAUGUAAACCACUGUCGGAGGGGAAGCGGUACCCUCCAAGAAAGCCCCGGCUAACUACGUGCCAGCAGCCGCGGUAAUACGUAGGGGGCGAGCGUUACCCGGAUUUACUGGGCGUAAAGCGCGUGUAGGCGGCUGGUCAAGCGUGGUGUGAAAUCUCCGGGCUCAACCCGGAAACUGCAUUGCGAACUGACCGGCUGGAGUGCAGGAGAGGGCAGCGGAAUUCCCGGUGUAGCGGUGAAAUGCGUAGAUAUCGGGAAGAACACCAGUGGCGAAGGCGGCUGCCUGGCCUGUACUGACGCUGAGACGCGAAAGCGUGGGGAGCGAACCGGAUUAGAUACCCUUGUAGUC
This 432-nucleotide ribosomal RNA is filed under the name uncultured bacterium. RNAcentral's name for it is "partial 16S ribosomal RNA". It matches the Rfam family "Bacterial small subunit ribosomal RNA", at positions 338 to 795 of the family's 1533-position model. The record is from RNAcentral.